This 253-nucleotide ribosomal RNA is filed under the name uncultured bacterium. RNAcentral describes it as "partial 16S ribosomal RNA". It matches the Rfam family "Bacterial small subunit ribosomal RNA", at positions 524 to 776 of the family's 1533-position model. The record is from RNAcentral.
UACGCAGGGUGCAAGCGUUAAUCGGAAUUACUGGGCGUAAAGCGUGCGCAGGCGGUGCUGUAAGACAGGGGUGAAAUCCCCGGGCUUAACCUGGGAAUGGCGCUUGUGACUGCAGCGCUGGAGUGCGGCAGAGGGGGGUGGAAUUCCGCGUGUAGCAGUGAAAUGCGUAGAGAUGCGGAGGAACACCGAUGGCGAAGGCAAUCCCCUGGGCCUGCACUGACGCUCAUGCACGAAAGAGUGGGGAGCAAACAGG